Molecule: transfer RNA, 65 nt
Filed under: Dipodomys ordii (Ord's kangaroo rat)
Lineage: Eukaryota; Metazoa; Chordata; Mammalia; Rodentia; Heteromyidae
Rfam family: tRNA
About the family: Transfer RNA (tRNA) molecules are approximately 80 nucleotides in length. Their secondary structure includes four short double-helical elements and three loops (D, anti-codon, and T loops).
Source: Rfam by way of RNAcentral
GGUGGCUCAGUGGUAGAGUGCUUGCCUUGCAUGCAAGAGGCCCUGGGUUCCAUUCUUCAGCACCA